UACAGAGGUGGCAAGCGUUGUUCGGAAUUACUGGGCGUAAAGGGCGCGUAGGCGGCCUUCUAAGUCAGACGUGAAAUCCCCCGGCUUAACCUGGGAACUGCGUCUGAUACUGGGAGGCUUGAGUAUGGGAGAGGGAUGUAGAAUUCCAGGUGUAGCGGUGAAAUGCGCAGAUAUCAGGAGGAACACCGGUGGCGAAGGCGGGUCUCUGGGCCGAUACUGACGCUGAGGAGCGAAAGCGUGGGGAGCGAACAGG
This 253-nucleotide ribosomal RNA is filed under the name uncultured bacterium. Its description in RNAcentral is "partial 16S ribosomal RNA". It matches the Rfam family "Bacterial small subunit ribosomal RNA", at positions 524 to 776 of the family's 1533-position model. The record is from RNAcentral.